Molecule: long non-coding RNA, 644 nt
Filed under: Nicotiana benthamiana
Lineage: Eukaryota; Viridiplantae; Streptophyta; Magnoliopsida; Solanales; Solanaceae
Description: long non-coding RNA (NBEN_LNC008145)
Source: RNAcentral
UGGUAUCUAAAUGCAGUAAUUUGUUAUUAGCUGAUUGUGAUCAUAAAGAGAGAAAAAUAACAAGCUGAGAGUAAAGAGACCUAGGAGCACGAUUUCUAUCUAUAAUAUGGAUGUCCUAUACAUGGUUUCUAUUGCACAAAUAGGCAAGUAAAAUCCUAUAUCCAUGUUUUCUACCCCAUACCCUUAACAAAGCAUGCAUAACCCUCCCAUUUUAACUAUACACCCCCAUUGUUCUUUACAAGUUAUUAUAGACCAAGUAAUUAAAUUACAGUGGUGAAGAACAAAAUAAGAAGCUAUUCUAUAGGGAGCCUUCAUCCGGACCGAAAUCUCAACCCACACUUUUUUUGAGUUUCACGGCCUUUACUAGGGGUUUGGGUGCGGCAAAGUUCCCUAGGGGUCUCUUGAGACCCCGGCCAAUACCAGGCACCCAAAAUCAAAUCACCAUUGAUAAGUGCAAGUGCAGAAUUGCCAACCUUGUGCAUCAAAGUUCAGUGGGUACUUAAGGCACCCAAAGAAUUGCUUACACCAAGGGGGCAGAACUUAAUUUCUAAGAGCAGUGUGUAAUUGUGAUGGAGUUUGAAGGAGUUGAGCUAGAAACAGUUGAAAGACAGUUUGAGAAAAAUAGUAAUAGCAUAGUGAAAGAG